Arabis alpina (gray rockcress) is the source of this 125-nucleotide ribosomal RNA. It matches the Rfam family "5.8S ribosomal RNA". Rfam says of the family: 5.8S ribosomal RNA (5.8S rRNA) is a component of the large subunit of the eukaryotic ribosome. It is transcribed by RNA polymerase I as part of the 45S precursor that also contains 18S and 28S rRNA. NCBI's taxonomy places the organism in Eukaryota, Viridiplantae, Streptophyta, Magnoliopsida, Brassicales, Brassicaceae. The record is from Rfam.
AAUUUUCGACAACGAAUUUCUCAGUUUUCGCAUCGAUGAAUAACGUAACGAAAUGCGAUACUUAGUGUGAAUUGCAAAAUCCCAUGAACCAUCGAGAUAGUUUUUUUUUUCUUGUUAAAGACCAU